AUACUUAGGGUGCAAGCGUUAAUCGGAAUUACUGGGCGUAAAGCGCUCGUAGGCGGCUUGUUAAGUCGGAUGUGAAAUCCCCGGGCUCAACCUGGGAACUGCAUUCGAUACUGGCAGGCUAGAGUAUAGUAGAGGCAAGUGGAAUUCCGGGUGUAGCGGUGAAAUGCGUAGAUAUCCGGAGGAACAUCAGUGGCGAAGGCGACUUGCUGGGCCAAUACUGACGCUGAGGUGCGAAAGCGUGGGGAGCAAACAGGAUUAGAAACCCCAGUAGUCC
This 274-nucleotide ribosomal RNA is filed under the name uncultured bacterium. Its description in RNAcentral is "partial 16S ribosomal RNA". It matches the Rfam family "Bacterial small subunit ribosomal RNA", at positions 523 to 796 of the family's 1533-position model. The record is from RNAcentral.